UUUUUGAUAGCUCAAAUAGAGCGUGGCCUUGAAGAGGCUAAGGUGAUAACUUUUCUCAAAAGU
This 63-nucleotide transfer RNA is filed under the name Enchiridium sp. MTA_2015. RNAcentral's name for it is "tRNA-Phe". The record is from RNAcentral. Lineage: Eukaryota; Metazoa; Platyhelminthes; Polycladida; Prosthiostomidae.